Molecule: long non-coding RNA, 279 nt
Organism: Pteropus alecto (black flying fox)
Lineage: Eukaryota; Metazoa; Chordata; Mammalia; Chiroptera; Pteropodidae
Exons: 3
Source: RefSeq, a predicted model, not a curated record
AGGUUGCAUUUAAGUAAUCAAGCAAUUAUGAAAGCUGUUUAGAAUAUGUAUUUCUUCCAUAGAGCCUCACGGAAGGUUAUUUAAAGUGAAUAGAUUGCACCGAAGGCCACAAUUAGCAGCCUCCCUGUAUCCAUGACCAAUGCAGCGUGACCUUACAGAUUCUUCCAGCAAGAGGUGUAAGCUCAGUGUAAGAGGAUGGAAAAAACCUUUCCUCCUAAGGAAUUCUCAGCAUGGUGAUGGAUACUCAGUGGAUGCUCCAGGAAUACACAUGGGUGAGGC